CUCUUCCCCAUCUCGUCGCGGACGUCGUUGGCUCAUCCAUGCUGCCCAAGUCGCCGUCCCCGUCCGCUGCCGCCAUCGGCCUCUCCUUACUCGUCGCCGCCCUAGACGUUCGCCGCACAUCUCCCUCGCCCUCGAUUCGCCGCCCCGUCGCCCUCACCGACGAUCUGCCCCGUCACCCUCCGCUCCAGCCAGUAAUACAUUGUCGUCCGCACCUCCCUCUCCGUCUUUCCUCCUCGUCACCCACGGCCACGACCGCCACGCACACGGACAACUGCGGCAGCAGCCACGCACACGCACACGAACAUUCAACUAGGGUCAUUUUUCCCGAAAUGACGGACAACGGCAUGCACCGUGGUGUUUUCCAAAGACCCUGGGUGAAGAGGGGAGUCCAAAU
Molecule: long non-coding RNA, 394 nt
Organism: Triticum aestivum (bread wheat)
Lineage: Eukaryota; Viridiplantae; Streptophyta; Magnoliopsida; Poales; Poaceae
Exons: 2
Source: RefSeq, a predicted model, not a curated record